This 297-nucleotide signal recognition particle RNA is filed under the name Aotus nancymaae (Ma's night monkey). RNAcentral describes it as "Metazoan signal recognition particle RNA (ENSANAG00000012203.1)". It matches the Rfam family "Metazoan signal recognition particle RNA". Rfam says of the family: The signal recognition particle (SRP) is a universally conserved ribonucleoprotein. The record is from RNAcentral. Lineage: Eukaryota; Metazoa; Chordata; Mammalia; Primates; Aotidae.
GCUGGGUGUGUGGCGCAUGCCUGUAGUCCCAGCUACUCAGGAGGCUGAGGUGGGAGGAUCGCUUGAGCCCAGGAGUUCUGGGCUGUAGUGUGCUAUGCCAUCGGGUGUCCACACUAAGUUUGGCAUCAAUGUGGUGACCUCCCAGUAGCGGGGGACCACCAGGUUGCCUAAGGAGGGGUGAACCGGCCCAGGUUGGAAAUGGAGCAGAUCAAAACGCUCGUGCUGAUCAGUAGUGGGGUCAUGCCUGUGACUAGCCACUGCACUCCAGCCUGGGCAACAUAGCGAGACACUGUCUCU